RNAcentral lists this ribosomal RNA (480 nucleotides) under uncultured bacterium. RNAcentral describes it as "bacterial SSU rRNA". It matches the Rfam family "Bacterial small subunit ribosomal RNA", at positions 28 to 507 of the family's 1533-position model. The record is from RNAcentral.
GAUGAACGCUAGCGGCAGGCCUAACACAUGCAAGUCGAGGGGUAUUAGGAGCUUGCUCCUAAGAGACCGGCGCACGGGUGCGUAACGCGUAUGCAAUCUACCUUUACAGGGGAAUAGCCCAGAGAAAUUUGGAUUAAUGCCCCAUGGUAUAUAUGAAUCGCAUGGUUUAUAUAUUAAAGUUCCAACGGUAAAAGAUGAGCAUGCGUCCCAUUAGUUAGUUGGUAAGGUAACGGCUUACCAAGACGAUGAUGGGUAGGGGUCCUGAGAGGGAGAUCCCCCCACACUGGUACUGAGACACGGACCAGACUCCUACGGGAGGCAGCAGUGAGGAAUAUUGGACAAUGGGCGCAAGCCUGAUCCAGCCAUGCCGCGUGCAGGAAGAAGCAUCUAUGGUGUGUAAACUGCUUUUGUACGGGAAGAAACAUCACUACGUGUAGUGACUUGACGGUACCGUAAGAAUAAGGAUCGGCUAACUCCGUG